GACGACGCUGGCGGCGUUGCUUAACACAUGCAAGUCGAACGGUAAGGCCCUUCGGGGUACACGAGUGGCGAACGGGUGAGUAACGCGUGAGUAACCUGCCCUUUCACUCUGGGAUAACAGUUGGAAACGGCUGCUAAUACCGGAUAUUCAGCUCCUGUCGCAUGGUGGGGGUUGGAAAGUUUUGGUGGUGGAGGAUGGGCUCGCGUCCUAUCAGCUUGUUGGUGGGGUGAUGGCCUACCAAGGCGUCGACGGGUAGCCGGCCUGAGAGGGCGACCGGCCACAUUGGGACUGAGAUACGGCCCAAACUCCUACGGGAGGCAGCAGUGGGGAAUAUUGCACAAUGGGCGGAAGCCUGAUGCAGCAACGCCGCGUGCGGGAUGACGGCCUUCGGGUUGUAAACCGCUUUCAGCAGGGACGAAGCGUGAGUGACGGUACCUGCAGAAGAAGCACCGGCUAACUACGUG
RNAcentral lists this ribosomal RNA (464 nucleotides) under uncultured bacterium. RNAcentral's name for it is "bacterial SSU rRNA". It matches the Rfam family "Bacterial small subunit ribosomal RNA", at positions 33 to 507 of the family's 1533-position model. The record is from RNAcentral.